CCUACGGGUGGCAGCAGUGGGGAAUAUUGCACAAUGGGGGAAACCCUGAUGCAGCGACGCCGCGUGAGCGAUGAAGUACUUCGGUAUGUAAAGCUCUAUCAGUAGGGAAGUAAAUGACGGUACCUGUCUAAGAAGCCCCGGCUAACUACGUGCCAGCAGCCGCGGUAAUACGUAGGGGGCAAGCGUUAUCCGGAUUUACUGGGUGUAAAGGGAGCGUAGACGGCUGUGCAAGCCAGAUGUGAAAGCCCGGGGCUCAACCCCGGGACUGCAGUUGGAACUGUGUGGCUGGAGUGUCGGAGAGGCAGGCGGAAUUCGUGGUGUAGCGGUGAAAUGCGUAGAUAUCAGGAGGAACGCCGAUGGCGAAGGCAGCCUGCUGGACGGUAACUGACGUUGAGGCUCGAAAGCGUGGGGAGCAAACAGGAUUAGAUACCCUAGUAGUC
This 440-nucleotide ribosomal RNA is filed under the name uncultured bacterium. Its description in RNAcentral is "partial 16S ribosomal RNA". It matches the Rfam family "Bacterial small subunit ribosomal RNA", at positions 338 to 795 of the family's 1533-position model. The record is from RNAcentral.